This 119-nucleotide ribosomal RNA is filed under the name Triticum aestivum (bread wheat). Lineage: Eukaryota; Viridiplantae; Streptophyta; Magnoliopsida; Poales; Poaceae. The record is from RNAcentral. RNAcentral also lists the same sequence under 1 other name.
GGAUGCGAUCAUAGCAGCACUAAAGCAUCGGAUCCCAUCAGAACUCCGAAGUUAAGUGUGCUUGGGCGAGAGUAGUACUAGGAUGGGUGACCUCCUGGGAAGUCCUCGUGUUGCAUUCC